This 465-nucleotide ribosomal RNA is filed under the name uncultured bacterium. RNAcentral describes it as "partial 16S ribosomal RNA". It matches the Rfam family "Bacterial small subunit ribosomal RNA", at positions 339 to 795 of the family's 1533-position model. The record is from RNAcentral.
CUACGGGCGGCAGCAGUCGAGGAUCAUUUGCAAUGCGCGAAAGCGUGACAAUGCGACGCUGCGUGGAGGAUGACGGCCUUCGGGUUGUAAACUCCUGUCAUUCGGGAAAAAUUGUCUUGAGCUGAUAACGAUCGAGGCUUGAUGUUACCGAAAGAGGAAGCCACGGCUAACUCUGUGCCAGCAGCCGCGGUAAUACAGAGGUGGCAAGCGUUGUUCGGAUUUACUGGGCGUAAAGGGUGCGUAGGCGGUUCCGUAGGUCGGAUGUGAAAUCCCACCGCCCAACGGUGGAACUGCAUCCGAAACUGCGGUGCUAGAGUGCAGGAGGGGAGAGCGGAAUUCUUGGUGUAGCGGUGAUAUGCGUUGAUAUCAAGAGGAACACCGGCGGCGAAGGCGGCUCUCUGGAAUGCUACUGACGCUGAGGCACGAAAGCUGGGGGAGCAAACAGGAUUAGAUACCCGGGUAGUC